Molecule: RNA transcript, 2813 nt
Organism: Micropterus salmoides (largemouth bass)
Lineage: Eukaryota; Metazoa; Chordata; Actinopteri; Centrarchiformes; Centrarchidae
Gene: dnajc18
Gene name: DnaJ (Hsp40) homolog, subfamily C, member 18
Exons: 9
Source: RefSeq, a predicted model, not a curated record
ACCAAGUAAACAACAUUUUGACUCAAAAUCAAUGGGAGGCCUAUUUUUUCCUACUUAUUCCAGUCCACAGGAUAUGACGUCGCCCCUGUCUCGCCUCCAGCUCUUGUCCAUCACAGCUUUAUUUUACUGUGGCCCUUUAAACGCCGUUAAAACCCAUUAUUAGUCCGUUUCCCAGACUUUCAUCAUUUAAAAAAAAACAUGGCCCCGCUGCCGGCCUGUUUGCAGCCUCACAACAACCUCCACCGUCUGCGAAUCGGAUACUGCGACGGACUUUGAGUGACUGCGGGCCUGCACCUAGUUAACGUUACGCAGCUGUCUGAAACCAAAGCUAAUCGGCUAUCUUACGUUAGCUGUAGCGGCUCGCCUUGCCAUAUGAUAUUGACGCACAUUACACAGGGACAGACCUCUACGGACAGCGAUUGGACCAGGAAAAUAACCCCGCACCGCUGAAAUGGACAAAGACGAAGCAGACCGGCUGAUAGAGAAGGCGAAGCUGUGCUUACGGUCAGGACGGAAAGAUCGGGCGCUGCAGCUGCUGUAUGAAGCUCAAAAUAUUUACCCCAGCACCAGGGCCAGAGUGCUGAUAGAUGCCAUUGUAAGGAAUGGAGGCACCGCUGCUCCAGAGGCAAACCACGUGCCCCCGCCAACGGGCUGGAGAGACGAGGACAUUGGAAGAAAUGAAAAAAGUAACGCAAGUGGUGAUGAAAAGAAGAGCUACACGGAGGAGCAACGCCAGGGUGUUCUCAGGAUAAAGAAUUGCAAGGACUUUUAUGAAAUCCUCGGUGUUCCCAAAAACGCCAGCGAUGAAGAUUUGAAGAAGAUGUAUAGGAAGUUGGCCCUCAAGUUUCACCCCGACAAGAACUUUGCUCCAGGAGCCACGGAUGCUUUUAAAGCAAUAGGCAAUGCGUACGCAGUGCUGAGCAAUCCAGAGAAGAGGCAGCAGUAUGAUCAAUACGGAGAUCAAGCCGCAGCUUCGAAUGCACCCCAACACUCCAGCAACAGUCGCCAUGGAUACUACCGAAGCUUCCACAGAGACUUUGAGGCUGACAUUUCCCCCGAGGAGCUCUUCAACAUCUUCUUUGGAGGAAGGUUUCCCACAGGAAAUAUCCACGUGUACACCAACCAGGGAGCCUCCUACUCUCAGUUCUAUCAGCCUCGUCGUCGACGUGCUUAUGAGAGGCGCGAGGAGGUGGUGGAGGACAAUCAGAGUCAGAACACCUUCACAGCGUUCCUGCAGCUUCUCCCCGUGCUGGUGCUAAUCCUCAUAUCAGUGUUUACUCAGAUGAUGGCCACUAACCCGCCCUACAGUCUCUUCUAUAAGCCGGCCAUGGGGCUGGUGGUGUCCAGGGAAACGCAUCACAUGGGUGUACCAUACUAUGUGGAUAAAGGUUUUGGGAAGGAAUACAGUGGUGCGGCGCUGGACGAACUAGAGAAAACCAUUGAGAGCGACUAUAUCGAACACCUGCAGAGUAGCUGCUGGAAAGAGAAACAGCAAAAUUUUUCUUUCCUGUGACAUAAGCACGCCCUGAAAUUCACAUUGCAUCCAGUUGGUCAGCGUUAAAGGAAUAGUGCAUCAUUUUGGGAAAUUAGCUUAUUGAAUUUCUGGCGGAGAUGAAUCAGACUUGGCAAACCUGGGGCAACUGUACCGAGAUGAGCGCUUAAAGCAGAAGGCAGAGUCAAUGAGGCUGGACAACUGCGAGAAACUGCAUCGACUGGUUGGGCGUCAAAGAGGCAAAUGAGGACUGUUUUGAGAGGAGAACACAUUUCUUUACAGACUUAGAGCACAUUUUAUUGAAGUGUGUAAUUUAUCCAAUCUGGCCACCUUGUAAAGAAAUCUCUUUUAGGUACAGUGCAAUCAGUGGGAGAUUAUGCCGCUGGAAACAAUGUGCCUUCUCUCCUCUUUGAUAGUAAAAAACAAAAAAAACAAAAAAAAAACAUAAGAGUUGCAUGUUAGCUGGCAACCCUGUCUGUUGUGGUGGCAGCAUCAAAUGCAAACUCACUGUGGCAGUGUGUAUGAUGUCUCAGAGCCGUUAAACUUUCUUAUAGAAAUGGCAUGACACACGGGGUCUCCCUUUGGGGUGAUGAAGGCAGUUGUAUGUUCACACAUAAUGUGUUUUAUUUGUUUUAGGUUUUGUAGUUUACCUGUAUUUAUUUUCUUGAAUGUUUUUGUGUCCCUUGAAAUUUUAGGUGAAUUUAUUUAAUAGUUAAUAGAGUGAAUGUCAUCUUUUUUUUUUUCAGGUAGGAAGUAAUGCAGUACAGUGACUUAAAUAAUACUGUAGUCUUUGGACAAAUCUGAGAGCUUCUGUACUGUGAAAUAACAGGACCUUUUUAUUUAUCAUUUAAACACAGACAAAUCAGACCUUAGAGAGGACUUCUAUACUGUGGUUAAUCAGACAAUUUGACCUCUGGCACUAAAGCAAUAGGAGGCACAGUAGUGUGAAAUUUUACACCAGAUUUUUCUUAAUGUGCUUAUUACAAAAGAUUGUAUUUGCCAAACAAAAAACGAGCUGUCUCCUAUAGUAGAGUUUCCCGCUCCCUGCACUACUGCUUGCAUACCUGUUUAUUGCAUUGGUGAUUAAGCUUCUGCCAUUCAGGAACCAGUGGUUUAGCUGCAGGCAGGUGUUUGAGGUGAUAAAUGGAAGAAAUGACUGUUGUGUGUUGAGGCCAUGUUUUGAAGUACUUUUGAUUUGGUUUGUCACAAGCAGGUAGGUCCACCUCAACCAAAAAGCCCACCUGGAAGAUGUGGGAAGCUCAAUUGUGAGCAGUAUCUGUAAGGAAACUGGGGCUGACAUGGCCCAUAUAAAAAAAAAAAA